This is an RNA transcript of Prunus persica (peach), 1314 nucleotides long. RefSeq lists it as uncharacterized. The record is from RefSeq and is a predicted model, not a curated record. Lineage: Eukaryota; Viridiplantae; Streptophyta; Magnoliopsida; Rosales; Rosaceae. The transcript has 7 exons.
UCUCAACUCUCUUGGCUCUAUCUCUCUCUUCAGCCCUUCUCUCUCCCUCGUGUAACUCUCUCUCUCUCUCCGACGCAAUCGUCUUUCUCCCUCAGCGGUGGCUAUUCAUCCAAGCUUAACUCAACGGUUCACAUCCACGAGGCCACAAUUAAGUAAGAGAAAAUCCAUUAUUUGUGCGCAGUCAAACCCAAAUCCUUUUCUAUCUCUCUGCCUCCUCUGGCUCUGUUUCAGAAACCUGGACAAUCCAUCCUGACGCUGCGUGUGUGAUGAACUGCUUGUCGUUGUCGCACUUUUCACGCAACCGCCAUUUUCAGAACGAAGGGUCGUUUCGUGGCGACGAGUUUUCUGUACAGACCUUGUUCGUGGAAAAGAAAAUUGGACCUUUCGUGUGGGGUUAAGUGCAUCAACUUAGAAUCAACGAGAUUCCAUAUUCAGCUCUGCUGAUCUCGAAGCAAAGCCAGCAGCAGCAUCAGCAGGAAGACGACAUAGUCUCGUUCACGGAGGAAGCCAGAAGCUGAACCGGUUGUGGAGCUGGCAAAAGAUGCCUUCUAUGUAGUGCGCAAAGGAGAUAUUGUUGGUGUUUAUAAGAGUUUCGGCGAUUGUCAGGCUCAGCUUAGUUCUUCGAUAUUUGAUCCUCCUGUUAGUGUGUACAAAGGGUACUCUUUGCCUACGGACAUGGAAGAAUAUUCAUGUGGACUUACGAAUGCCAUUUACACAAUCGCUGCUGCAGAUUUGAAGGACGAUAUUUUCGGCAAGCUUAUGCAUUGCCCUUUUCAAAUCCAGGAUCUUUGCAAGGUGAAGCAUCUGUCAUGGAUGCACUCAAAAAGAGAUCCCAUGAAGUGCCAGCAUCAGAUAAUUUUGGAAGUAAUUGGUUCAUCUUCCUUUUUCAGAUGAUCCAUUGAGAAAGCAUGUCCAGAUAGAUCAUUCCACUCAAUCAUUACCCUUAGAUUCUGAAUUGGAAAAUCCUCUAAUCAUAAUCCAUGAGAAGAAAAUCUCAAGUAUUAAUGAUGUGGUUAAAGUAUUGGAGUUGGUUUUGCAGUUAUGAUUUCAGAUCUGUAGAUAACCUGUUGUUGCUGAUAUUGCUACACGGGAGGAGAACAGAACAACUUGGAAAAUGUGCAAGAAGGGAGAGCUAACUCAUACAACGAAGAACAAAUUGAUGAAGUUAAGAUCAAAUUAGUAGAAUUUGUGAGCUCUCCAUUAUUUAUAAUUAUAGGUAGGAAGUAUGUAUGUAAUAGAGCAAAGAUUGGUUGACUAUGUAAUAACAAUUGAAUUGUCAAGUUUUAUGAAAGAAAUAAUUUUUGCUUCUUGGGA